Oryctolagus cuniculus (rabbit) is the source of this 3983-nucleotide non-coding RNA. NCBI's taxonomy places the organism in Eukaryota, Metazoa, Chordata, Mammalia, Lagomorpha, Leporidae. The record is from RefSeq and is a predicted model, not a curated record.
CUGGGAAUUGUAGUUUUCCGAUGCUCUCCUCUAGCUAGGACUGCUUGUCCCAAGAUGCAGUUCCACACCCUGGGUUCCUUAGUUACUAUGUGCAAGUACUGGAUAUGGUGUUUGGAGAAAGGGCUUCAGGCUUAUCACAGUUUUACUUUAUUGCAAAAGCAGGUCACGACUUAAAGUUUCUCUGGUGAACAAGUGUGCGGAUUGUGACUUAUGUCAGUCCAAGAAAUAAAUAAACAUGCAGUUCUCCCUCCUAUCAUUAGUAGCAGUGACAAGGAAUUUUUGGAAAAUAUGCAAAGAUACAUAAUUACAGAAACGGAAAGAGUGGGCUGUAAUGAGGAAGGACCUGCUGAUGAGUAUUACAUCAUAUACCGCAAUGUUUUUGAUAAGGUAAUAGAAUAUGUCACUGCAUACAAAUCCAUUCUUACUUCAAUCAAAAAAGAAUAUGAUGCCUUUGUUGAGACAAUAAAGAAAGGCCGAAGGACUACAUUUUUUCUUCAUGGAAAACUUAAAGUUUUGGCAGCAGAGCCCACAGCUUUCGUGUAUCACAAGAGAAGAAUUACACAACUCGAAGCAAAGAUGAGAAUUAUUGAAAACAAUUCCUCAAAAAUCCAAUUGGAAAUAGAUCAGAUUAAACAGCUUAGGGAAGAGUAUUAUUCAAAAGAAACACCAUAUUGUACUUUCUCUAAAGAUCCAUCAACACGUAUUCCAGGCAUGACACUCCGAGAGUCCGUCAGUCUAGAUGCACUCACUAAGCACAUGAAAUAUCUUGAAAAAAAAUAUGAAGAAAUAAAGCAGGAUAUGUCAAUAAAAUAUAUACCAAUUCAGAGGAAGGUUGAUUUAGAUGAAGAAAUGAUUAUGCUACUAAAACGGCGAGAUAUAGCUGAAAAUCUGAACAAAGAAUUACAGUUUAGUCAUCAAAGACUGCAGAUCAUUUCCUAUGCAUUUUCUUUAUGGGUGAAAUCUGAUAUGAGCAGCUCCUUUCCAGACUUUGUAGAGCAAAUUCAGAAAACCAAAGAUUUGCAUGAUGACCAAGCCAUUGCUGAGCAACUACUUGAAGAUGAUCCAAGCCAGGCCAAAGAAGCAGAGAUUAUGCUUUACUACAUUGAAAGGCAAUUUUGGUGUUUUGUUUUGAUUUUUGACAGAGAGACAGAGCUCCCAUUUGCUGAUUUACUCCCCGGAUGCCUACAGUGGUUGAGACUAGGUCUGCAGCCAGGAACCAGGAACUCAAUCCAGGUCUCCCACCUGGGUGACAGGAACCCAAUCACUUGAGCCAUCAUCUGUUGCCUCCCAGACCCUGCGUUAACAGGAAGCUAGAGUCAGGAGCUGGAGCUGGGAGUUGAAUCCAGGCAAUCUGUUGUGGGACAUGGGCAUAUUAACUGCUAGGCUAAGCACCUACUCGGAAACAUAAAUAUUUUAAAAGCUUUGAUUUUCUGUGUUAAAUUAAUUAUAUUUCCAUUUAGUAACAUGAUGAAACAUAGUCUCUAGUUUUUGAAAAUGUUUAUCCAUUUGUUUUUAUUUAUUAUAAAGACUGAGUGGCAGAGGGAGAGAGAAAUCUUUCAUCCACUGGUUCAUUUAUGAGAUGCCCACAAUAGCCCAGGCUGAGCCAACCAUAGCUAGGAGCCUGGAACUCCAUCUGGGUCUCCCAUGAGGUUGACAGGGACUGAAGUACUUGAACCAUCAUGUGCUGUCUCCCAGAAUGCAUAUUAUUAGCAGGAACUGGAAUGGAAGUGGAAUAGCUGGGAGCAACUCAGGUACUCCACUAUGGGAUUUAGGUACACCAACUGGCCCCUUAACCUGCUGUGCCGCAAUGCCCACCCUUCUAGUUUUUAUAAUUUUUUUUUAUUUAUUUGACAGAGUUAGACAAUGAGAGAGAGAGACAGAAAGGUCUUCCUUCCAUUGGUUCACCCCCAAAAUGGCCACCACAGCUGGUGCUGCACCGAUCCGAAGCCAGGAGCCAGGUGCUUCCUCCUGGUCUCCCAUGCAGGUAUGGGGGCCCAAAUUCUUGGGCCAUCCUCCACUGCCUUCCCUGGCCACAGCAGAGAGCUAGACUGGAAGAGCAGCAACCGGGACUAGAACCCGGCGCCCAUAUGGGAUGCCAGCACUGCAGGUGGAGGAUUAGCCAAGUGAGCCAUGGCGCCAGCCCCUAGUUUUUAUAAUUUUAAAAUUCUAUUCUAAUAGAGAAGUUAGAAAAUAAACUACAGAGGUGUUUUUCCCCUAUGAAUUCUUUAUGAAAAGUAGUACUAGAUUGGUAGUCUAGGAGAUUUUUCAGAAGAGAUAAGAGGAUUGUAGUGUUGAUACAAGUUAUAUAUACACACACACACACACACACACACACACAUAUGUAUGUAUUUUUGCUGCCUGUUACAAAACCUUUUUUUUUUUUUGCCAGGCAGAGUGGACAGUGAGAGAGAGAGACACAGAGAGAAAGGUCUUCCUUUUCUGUUGAUUCACCCCCCAAUGGCCGCUGUGGCCGGUGCACCGUGCUAAUCUGAAGCCAGGAGCCAGGUGCUUCUCAUGGUCUCCCAUGCGGGUGCAGGGCCCAAGCAUUUGGGCCAUCCUCCACUGCACUCCCAGGCCACAGCAGAGAGCUGGCCUGGAAGAGGGGCAACCGGGACAGAAUCUGGCGCCCCGACCGGGACUAGAACCCGGUGUGCUGGCGCCGCAGGAGGAGGAUUAGCCUAUUGAACCGUAGCGCUAGCCACAAAACCUUUUUAAUAUGAGAUUUUUGUCUUUUAUUCUAAUGUUACUUGAGUAAGAACAAAGUAAAAAUAAACACAAAGAUGCCCUAUAAAUCAAUCACAGGGUUCCUCUUCAUCUGUGUUGAUAUUCUUUUUUGCUUGCAUACCUCUUUGAUGGUCUCUGUCUCUAACUUGUGAGUUAGAGUCACUGUGUCAUAAUCAAAUUGUUCAUCAAGUGAAAAGAUAACUUCAUUUCCAAGUAUCUCUUCCAUUUGCUUUUCUGUUAUUUUUAUGGUGGGUUUUGGCUUCACUUCAAGGGUGAGAGUCUGGUCCAGGGAAAGAUUAUAAGAAGGAACACUGGGACCAGUGCUGUGGCGCAGCAGGGCCUUAAGUGCUGCAUCCCAUAUGAGUGUUGGUUCAAGUCCCAUUUGCUCCACUUCUGACCCAGCUCCCUGCUGUUGCACCUGGGAGAACAGUGGAGGAUGCCCAAGUGCUUGGAUCCCUGUACUCCUGUAGGAGACUGGAGGAAGCUCCUGGCUUUUGGCUUGGCCUGGCCAGCCCUGGUGAUUAUGGCCAUUUGGAGAUUAACCCAUAGAUGGAAGAUCCCUUCUCUCCCCCCCCCCCUUCUCCCUGUGUAACUCUAACUUUCAAAUAAAUAAAUAAAGUUUUUUUUAAAAAAAGUAAAACCGGUACUUACCUCCUGUGCCACUGCUCUUGGAAGCGGCCGCAAAUUGUGGCUCAUGUGGUGCUUAAUCUUUUCAUCCAUGUCCAGGUUUUCUAAAUCUAGAAAGUUGUCUUCCCCUUUCCUGCUCAAUUCAGAUCACUUUGUUGGGAACUGUGAAGUUCUUGUCCUUCACCUGUUAUUAUCUGUUCUUCCCAACAUUGUGAUGGAAUACAAAGAAAGAUGGUUUAGUUCUGAGUUGGAGAUCAUUUGGUUCAUUUUGAGUAAAUUUUAUUGAGGUGAACAUCUUUUCUGAAGAAUUGGUUCCAUAUGUUCCUGUUUGGUCACAUUAUCCACUUUCGAAAGAUAAGUACAAAUGCGCAGAAAUUCUUCAUAUGUAUGCUCAUGACAAUUAAACUCAUCCAAGACUUCUUUUUCUUUUUGUAAGAUUUAUUUUUUGUUUGUUUAAAAGGCAGAGUUAUAGACAGAGGAGGAGAGACAGAGAGAUCUUCCAUCCACUGUUUCACUCCCCAAAUGGCCAGGACUGGGCCAGACCAAAACUAGGAGCCUAGGCCAGACCAAAAGUAGGAGCUUGGAACCUGAUGGGGCUUUCUUGUUUGGGUAGCAGGGACCCAAGAACUCAA